UGCUAAAUCAAGACAAUUUAUGGAGUUUUUCAUCUUCCUAGAUGAAAGCUUUGAAGAUACUUGUUACAUGAAUGAGUAGAUGGGCCAGGAUUUAGCUCAGUGGUUCCGCUGCCUGCCUCGAAAACGCAAGGUCCUGAGUUCAAUCCUCAGUACCAAAAAAUUAAAAAAAAUAAAAACCACAUGAAUGAGUAGAUGUAAAGGAACGAGUCACAAGGUUACACUAUCAUCCAUUCUCUGAAUUCCUCUGAGUCACAGACCAAAAUGACAGUGAUUUAUGACCCACUGACAAACGGAUUUUAGUAUAAAUAAGAAACCAGAUACCAGUUGAUGCGGAAAGAAUUAUGGGUAACACAAAAUAAUACUUGAGAUCAAAAUGACAGAGUAAUGAUCAGCAGCAAAAUACAGACUCUCUGGGACCUUGAAUCCAGACACACAGAAAAUAACAACUUGGAAAAGAGAAAAAGAAAAGCGUUAGAUCUCCAGGAAUUGGAAAGAAACUGAACAGUAGAAACUGCAGAGAAGCUGGACUAAUGGAGCACAAUGCAGAGGAAAGAAUGAAGCAAACGGGAGAGCUCACUCUGGCUCCUGGGGAGAGGAACCUAUCUCUACAGACACAAGGUCCAGAAGCUCACUUUACAGCAAAGCCAAGGUCUGAGAGACAAGCGCUGGCGAAAGAAAGUUUUCACUCAGUGACCAAAGAAUGGAAAACCAGGAUCCAUGCUCACGGAUCAAAUUCCAGCUAAGUGCACAUCGUAUAAUACUAUGAGAACCUCCUGACAAAACACGAAGGCCAGGUGACAAGUAUGUCCUGCCAAAAGAGCCAGGAAAGCAGAACACACGUGCUAUCAGUGUAAGCGAGACUUGUGUGUGGAACAUGGUGUUUUCAUAUAUGAAAAAAAUCCCCUAGGUGUGAUAAUUGAAGUGAAGAUUAUUUCUGUGGUACAAAAAUAUUUGUAUUUUCAUUGUAGUUCACAAAGGAAUUUGUUUGUAUUUUUUAGAUUUGUAAGCAAAUAAACUGUGGAUGUUGAAAAUGUUGAUGUUUAUUCUAAACACUCAUUACAUAUUAAAAUGUUAAUAUUUUAUUUUAUUGGUAUUUUAUUUUCCUGUUAAGUACAUAUUGUAUAACUCAUAAAAUUAAAAUAAAUAAUUCAUCAAUAGAAAUACUCCUAAAACAUAAAUGUGGGUACUAUACACCCACUUAACAUUCCUUUUUUGGGAACUUAACAUGAUGCCCAAGGAGGUAAAUUCACCAUUGUUAAAUGAUUUUGACCUUUUUCAGUAAGAUUUGUUACCAUAUAUAGAGUCCAUUGGAGCUGAAAUUUUUUUUAAAAAAUUUAAAAAUGUUUGUCUUUCAAAACACUCCAUGAUAUCGAAUUUGGCAACAAGGUAUUGGAUAUGAUUUUUUUCAAGUUGUAAUUUUUAAAA
Molecule: non-coding RNA, 1425 nt
Organism: Heterocephalus glaber (naked mole-rat)
Lineage: Eukaryota; Metazoa; Chordata; Mammalia; Rodentia; Bathyergidae
Source: RefSeq, a predicted model, not a curated record